Molecule: long non-coding RNA, 1575 nt
Filed under: Homo sapiens (human)
Lineage: Eukaryota; Metazoa; Chordata; Mammalia; Primates; Hominidae
Description: non-protein coding lnc-ALKAL2-2:6
Source: RNAcentral
GCCUCCCCGUUCGCCUCCCAGAGGCCGCCACUUUCUUCAGGGCUAUCAGAUGAAGGCAGCAACGAAAACACCACCACAAGACCAACUUCAGGCUGGAGCUGAUGAUGCCACACAGGGGCUUCCUGGAGCUCCUGCAACCCCAGGCAUUAGUUCCGGUGCAGUUCUAGGAUCAGAUCAAUUCACUCGACAACAAGAGAAACAAAUGGAGAUUCCUACACAAAGACUUUCAAGCACAAAGAAAUCCUGCUGCCUGUAAAGCGGAGCUGCCUCAGCCCUUGAUGAACGACAGAAAAUACCACCUACUGCCAGACCUCAACGCCUCACAAAACUCUCACCCACCUACUGCUUUUAGCUCACAUUCCAGGAAUUCAGAUGAAGUGAAGUGCUCUCAUGGGGACCAGGCAUGGUUAUGCCAGUCCACUGCCCUGCAAGCCUCAAGGGAAGCCAACUGCCCUUCAGCAAGUCACACCUGCCUUGGUGGAGGCCUUGAUUGGAAGUGCCACACGCUACAUGUCCAGUCCUGAGCGGGAGAAUCGGUGUAGGGACGUUCUGGGGAUGCCAGCUGUGGCCAGAUCAGGUCCAACUACAGAAGAAUAAUGAAGACUCCACCUGAGGGCUGGAAAAACAAAACCUCAAGUGUGAGGCAGCCAACCUGUUACCUCGAGGGACUGUUCCGCAGCACAGCGGGGCCAUGGGAACAGCAGCAGACACCCCGACCUCCUCGCUACCUGUAUCAACUAUGGCCUGAGUAUGAUAGACUUAUCCAUGGUUUAAACAGAAUAUAUUGUUUUCAACUUUGAAAAUAAGAAUAUGGAAAUCCAGAUGCAGAAAUGUGAGAAGAAAAGAGAGUAAACAGAGUGGAAGGUCAGGUGACCUUGCCUGUCAUGAAUAUGAAGGUCAAGGUGUGUGAAUUGUGAAAUUUCCAAGAGAACCUCACUGAAGCAAAGAAUGAAGAAAGAAUUGCAUUUGGCCCUGGGAGGGUGCAGGGGUGAAUGGUGCAGGAGCUAAAUCUUUAUCAUACCCAGAAAUCAACAGCCACUAUUUGAAAUCAUCUAAAUUCGUGCUGCUAACCUUCAGUGUACACACGAAUCACCUGGGGAUCUUACUAAAAGCUAGUUUCUGAUUCACUAAAUCUGUGUGUGGUGGAAGUUGAGGGCAGAGAAGCUCCCGAGGGUGUCAAGCUGACUCUGAACCCGACUUUGAGGGUUAAGGUCCCAAAUGGCAUCGCCAGCACCAGGGACAGACACUAAAAUUGUAGAAAUCGUCUCAAGAAAUGAACAGCCUCUAAGUCAGAUGUUGAAUGUGAAAGAAAUCAGGGUGUGUACGUGUGUGUGCAUUUGUGUGUGCACGUGUGUGCCUGUGUUUGUCUCUGUGCAUGUAUGUUUCUAUGUGUGCACAUGUGUGUAUGUGUCUGUACAUGUGUGUUUCUGUGUGUGUGCCUGUGUGUGUAUUGGCUUAGAUCUGUUCGAGACUUUUUAUUUGAUGAGAUCGAUAUAUGCCACCACUUUUGGAAAGGACAACGUAUAUACAAAGACAAUGAUUACUUAUGUAAUGUGAACGGAGUCUCUCUUCGAC